Molecule: ribosomal RNA, 200 nt
Filed under: uncultured bacterium
Lineage: Bacteria
Description: partial 16S ribosomal RNA
Rfam family: Bacterial small subunit ribosomal RNA
Source: RNAcentral
AUUGAACGCUGGCGGCAUGCCUUACACAUGCAAGUCGAACGGUAACAGGUUAAGCUGACGAGUGGCGAACGGGUGAGUAAUAUAUCGGAACGUGCCCAGUCGUGGGGGAUAACUGCUCGAAAGAGCAGCUAAUACCGCAUACGACCUGAGGGUGAAAGCGGGGGAUCGCAAGACCUCGCGCGAUUGGAGCGGCCGAUAUC